AGAGUUUGAUCCUGGCUCAGCCUGAACGCUGGCGGCGUGGCUAAGACAUGCAAGUCGUACGGGAUCCGCAAGGGUCCAGUGGCGGACGGGUGAGUAAUGAAUCGCUAAUGUACCCCAGAGUCUGGGAUAGCUGCCCGAAAGGGCAGGUAAUACCAGAUGAUAUAUCCGGUUGGCAUCAACUGGAUCUCAAAGGAGCAAUACGCUCUGGGAGCAGGCGAUUUCGUAUCAGCUUGUUGGUGAGGUAACGGCUCACCAAGGCGACGACGCGUAGCUGGUCUGAGAGGACGGCCAGCCACAUUGGGACUGAGACACUGCCCAGACUCCUACGGGGGGCUGCAGUAACGAAUCUUCCGCAAUGCACGCAAGUGUGACGGAGCGACGCCGCGUGUGGGACGAAGUCCUUCGGGAUGUAAACCACUGUCAGGGGUUAGAAAGUUCUGAUCAACCCCAGAGGAAGAGACGGCUAACUCUGUGCCAGCAGCCGCGGUAAUACAGAGGUCUCGAGCGUUAGGCGGAAUCACUGGGCUUAAAGCGUGUGUAGGUGGAUGCCUAAGUACCUUGUGAAAUCCCACAGCUUAACUGUGGAACUGCUUGGUAUACUGGGUGUCUUGAGUCACUCAAGGGCGAGCGGAACAAAUGGUGGAGCGGUGAAAUGCGUAGAUAUCAUUUGGAACGCCAAUGGUGAAAACAGCUCGCUGGGGGUGUACUGACACUGAGACACGAAAGCCAGGGGAGCGAACGGGAUUAGAUACCCCGGUAGUCCUGGCCGUAAACGAUGUCGACUAGAUCCGGGUGGCUCUGACGUCAUCACGGUCGAAGCAAAAGUGCUAAGUCGACCGCCUGGGAAGUACGGUCGCAAGGCUAAAACUCAAAGGAAUGACGAAGGCGAAUCGUACCCGUUU
RNAcentral lists this ribosomal RNA (902 nucleotides) under uncultured bacterium. RNAcentral's name for it is "bacterial SSU rRNA". It matches the Rfam family "Bacterial small subunit ribosomal RNA", at positions 8 to 935 of the family's 1533-position model. The record is from RNAcentral.